RNAcentral lists this ribosomal RNA (491 nucleotides) under uncultured bacterium. Its description in RNAcentral is "partial 16S ribosomal RNA". It matches the Rfam family "Bacterial small subunit ribosomal RNA", at positions 29 to 506 of the family's 1533-position model. The record is from RNAcentral.
AGUGAACGCUGGCGGUAGGCCUAACACAUGCAAGUCGAACGGCAGCACAGUAAGAGCUUGCUCUUACGGGUGGCGAGUGGCGGACGGGUGAGGAAUACAUCGGAAUCUACUUUUUCGUGGGGGAUAACGUAGGGAAACUUACGCUAAUACCGCAUACGACCUACGGGUGAAAGCAGGGGAUCUUCGGACCUUGCGCGAUUGAAUGCGCCGAUGUCGGAUUAGCUAGUUGGCGGGGUAAAGGCCCACCAAGGCGACGAUCCGUAGCUGGUCUGAGAGGAUGAUCAGCCACACUGGAACUGAGACACGGUCCAGACUCCUACGGGAGGCAGCAGUGGGGAAUAUUGGACAAUGGGCGCAAGCCUGAUCCAGCCAUACCGCGUGGGUGAAGAAGGCCUUCGGGUUGUAAAGCCCUUUUGUUGGGAAAGAAAAGCAGCAGGUUAAUACCCCGCUGUUCUGACGGUACCCAAAGAAUAAGCACCGGCUAACUUCGU